AGUCCUAUGCCAGAGUA
Molecule: unclassified non-coding RNA, 17 nt
Filed under: Mus musculus (house mouse)
Lineage: Eukaryota; Metazoa; Chordata; Mammalia; Rodentia; Muridae
Description: oocyte_clustered_small_RNA12282
Source: RNAcentral